GGCAUGUAAUGCAACAUAUCAAAAGUAUUGGGCGUUAGUAAUUGGUUGUCCCAGAGAAAGAGAAGGCUUAAUCUCUGCUCCACUGUCAAAGGUUCUCUCUCUCCUGCUCUUGCUCUCUCUGGGAUCAGUGUUCACGAUUCUCAGUCUUUUCCUGAUAAGUUGAUAAAUUAAAAUACAAUCAUGUACCAGAGGUGCAAGGUUGGCA
This 205-nucleotide unclassified non-coding RNA is filed under the name Hevea brasiliensis (rubber tree). The record is from RNAcentral. Lineage: Eukaryota; Viridiplantae; Streptophyta; Magnoliopsida; Malpighiales; Euphorbiaceae.